Molecule: ribosomal RNA, 253 nt
Filed under: uncultured bacterium
Lineage: Bacteria
Description: partial 16S ribosomal RNA
Rfam family: Bacterial small subunit ribosomal RNA
Source: RNAcentral
UACGUAGGGUGCGAGCGUUAAUCGGAAUUACUGGGCGUAAAGCGUGCGCAGGCGGUUUUGUAAGCCAGAUGUGAAAUCCCCGGGCUUAACCUGGGAAUGGCAUUUGGGACUGCAAGGCUGGAGUUUGGCAGAGGAGACUGGAAUUCCUGGUGUAGCAGUGAAAUGCGUAGAUAUCGGAAGGAACACCGGUGGCGAAAGCGGCGCGCUGGACCUCUUCUGACGCUGAGGCGCGAAAGCCAGGGGAGCGAACGGG